GCCGCCAUGACUCCGCCGCCCGCGCCUACGAGGGACGCCACCGCGACUCCGCCGAGGCCGCCGCCCGCGCCUACGACGCCGCCACGACUUCGCCGGCGUCGCCCCUUCGCCGGCGGUGCCCCCUGCCGGCUUUUCCCUCCUCGUGGCCUGCCAUCGGUGAUGUAGUUGGGAGGAAAGUGGAGGAGGAAGGAGUGAGAGACUGACAUACGGGUCCCAGUGUCAUACACUUAAAAUAGAGAGGGUGGAUGGAGACGCUGUUGGAGUGAGCAACAGGUUUAACUUGCUAAAUCAAUUGAAGAGUUGGCUAUAUAGGUAUUUGAAGAGUGUGAUUUGGGUAGACUGUUGGAGAUGCUCAGAACGCGAAGAAACCGAGGGUAGCAGAGAUUAUUUUGUUGGGCCGUAACGGUUUGGCCCGCGAACGCGAAUUCAAUCCUUAUCGCUUAAGUUGAUCCAACGGUUAGAAAUAAGCGGACCCACUUGUCAGUAGGAAGUUCAGAUAGACGAGGUGGACCCACCCAUCUCCUUCCAGAAUCCGAGAGGUCCCCACUUCGCCGUGAUCCUCUCCAAUCCACCGGCGACUCCGACGAGCUGGUAGCAUUAGCGCCUCGACUUUGAGCCGCCGUCGGCCUCCGCUCCGGUGGGUCACGGGGCCGCAUGGAUGGAGUAAUCGAGCCCAGAGAAGCGGGUCGUCGGCGUCAUCCCCCGCCAUUCCACGACGCGGCGAUCUCAUCGGCCGCCGCCUGCAUCGAGGGAAAGUGGGAAACCCCUCAACGGGCACCCUGGAUGGCUGCUGCGGCGGCGUAGGGCGCGGCCGCCAUCGACGCAUGCAUCCGGUCGGAGAGGAACCUGGCUGGCGUCCCCGCCCCGCCGCCCGCCGCCGCCGCAGCACCCGCCUCCAGCGACACACACACCGCCGCGGGGCGCUCCGCUCGUCUCACCCACCCGGCGCAGAGCGGCGCCGCGAGGGGCGAGAGCGAGCGCGCGCUACCCGCGUGCACGCGGCGGCGGUCGCAGGCCGCAGAACCUCGCGGCGUCCGCCCGCGUCAUUCUCCGGUUCUCCCCUACGGUCGGCAAGCUCGACGCGGGUUUCCAUGGAGCCCGCCCAGGUGCUCGCGAAUCGCCAUGGUCUCCAUGGAGCUUGGCGCUGGAGACUCAGAUAUUCAACCGCGAAUUCAGGAAUCCUAAUUCCGAUUUCUCCCUAAAUUGGGAGGCCCAUUGCUGAGAAAUAAUCUCGCUCGGCGGCGCCUAUGUGGUCUCUCUCCCUCGUUUUCCUUCACAAGAUACAGAUUCCGAGAGCAAAUAAGUAGGAGACUAAAACGGAAGUCGACGCCGGUUUCCUCGAUUCGUGGACGGACGAGCAAUCGUGGGUUCGUGGUCAUGGGAUUGGGGUAUGUGCUGCUGAAGCGCUUGCAGCGAGAGCGUCGUCGUCGUCGUCGUAGUCGACAUGCCCUAGUUCCCGGUAAGUCGCCUUUUCCUGUCUCAGCUUGUCUGCUCUGCUAUUCAUGUGAGGAUGCAAUGAGUUCUGCCAUUCAUGUGACAAUGCAAAUUAUUCAUGCCGGCCUCAUUGUUAUGCUUAUGCUUAUAAGCCAAAAAUUGAAUUUAGGACUUAAUUUUAAUGUUGAUUUUUUUUUCAUCUUAGUUUAUUUGACAACAUUUGCUUUUGAGUUGCUAAGGACACGAAUAUAAAAGUUUUAUUCACAAAUGAUUUUUUAUUUGCUAAUAAGCGAUUCGGAUAAGCAUAUGAAUAAGCUAAACAAUGGGGUUUCUCAUCUAUUGCUUGCUCAGAGAAUGUACUUCAGCAUUGUGCAGCAAGACUCGGAUUUCGAUUUUGUAGUUUCCUCUCUCUUUUGCGAGUAGGUGAAACUGAUUCGUUUAGAUUGUUAGUUCAAUUGUUAGUUUCAAUCCGUAUGAUCUUUUUGCAAGUACCUCUUUAUGUUUGAGAUUCCUUUAGAUUGUUAGUUUCGACCAUAUGAUCUUUUUGCGAAUACAUUUUUAUGUUUGAGCAGGUAAGUUCUCCGGUUGAGCACAUGAGCUCCCGUUUACCCCCAGUCUGCAUCUGUUCAUAAAAGAGAUUGUAAUUAAGAAGACCAAAUAAUGAUGCUUAUCUACUAAAGGUUUUGAGAGUAGGAAUCAGCAUCCACUCAAACACUAGACCAAGCAUGUAUUGUUUGCAUCAUAAUGCUUAAUUUCUUGUUUCUCCUGUUGACGCAUGUACUAUAUUCUUAACCUUUAGUUGUUGCAGAUGAGUCUAUUGCCUCACCAGAGAAACGAAAGGGCUCAUGUUAUCAACAAGAUGACAGUCCUCGCAGUGGCAAAAAGAUGAGAUAUUCAGGUCCAUACCUUCCUGAGGAAAUGUGGCAGCAUAUACAUUCCCUUAUGCCAAUGAAAGACGCUGCCCGUGCUGCCUGCUUGUCUUCUGCCUUUCUAUACUCAUGGAGAAACCGUCCCAAACUCUCCUUUAGUACUGAAACGAUGGGUAUCGUUGAAGGUACAACGGAUUUCAUCAGAAAAAUUGAUCGCGUUAUGGAAAAACACUCAGGCAUUGGUGUGAAGGCUCUUACGAUUGAGUUCAAUGGUCUCUUCAGUACCAAAGCACGCAGUUACCUCGAAAGAUGGCUUCAAAUUGCUGUUACACCAAGGAUCGAAGAGCUCAGCCUCUCGAUGUCCAAGGGAAAAGCAUAUUAUGACUUUCCUUGCUCACUUCUAUCUGAUGGGAGUGGAAGCUCGAUUCGGCUUCUUGAUCUUUACUGCUGUACCUUUCACCCCACUGCGGAGAUUGGUUGCUUUCAAAGCUUGACGAGGCUGCAUCUGGAGUAUGUGAGAAUCACGGGGGAUGAAUUGGGCGGCUGACCUAUGUGGAAGUGCGUGGAUGCUCCAGGCUGCGAGUAAUAGAGAACAAAGCUCCAAACCUUCACAGUUUGCACAUUUUUUAUCAAGCUUAUCACCCUAUACAACUCUCCUUUGGAGAGUCAUCUCUGGUGAAGAACCUAAGUAUUGGGUAUUCCUCUGUUCUCAAUCAUGCUUGCGCGGAGCUACCAUAUAUUUUUCCAAACCUCGAAACUCUUACCAUACGCUCAUUGGGUGAGAUGGUCAGUACACCAAUGGUGCCUAACACAUUCCUCCAUCUCAAGUACUUGUGUAUUACUCUUUCUGCAGUAACUCUCUCUCCAUCAUAUGAUUAUUUGUCUCUGGUUUCCUUUCUCGAUGCCUGCCCUUCCUUGGACACUUUCAUCGUGGAUGUAUCCGCAAAACACCCAGAGAACGAUUCAAUUUUCGAGAACCCCUCACAUCUAAGGCAGUUGCCAGAGCAACGCCAUGACAACCUCCGGAAUGUGAAGAUCACUGGAUUCCGCUCCGUGAAGAGCUUGUUGGAGCUAACAUAUCAUAUCCUCGAGAAUACAUCAGUCGAAUGUCUUACAUUGGACACCAGUUUUGAGUCUUUCAGAUGUUCUCCCGGCAAACUUGGUAGAUGCUCGCGAAUGCCAAAGGAUGAUCUCAUGGAAGCCUCUAAAGCACUCUUCGCUAUCAGAACAUACAUCGAGGGAAAAGUUCCCUCCACGGUUAGACUAAAUGUGGUUGAGCCUUGCAGCCGUUGCCAUGUUAUGGAACCUUUUACUGUCGAAACUCGAAAGUAACAGCGGAAAUGAAAUGCAGUAACACAACACUCAUGUUUUUCUUUGCGUGCAUCAUGUAGUAACUGCGUUUCUCUGUGCACUGUACUACUGUAUGUGCAUGUUGGAGUGCUGAACUUGCCCCUUGUCACCAGGAUGCAGAAUAAUAGUUGCCUCGUUCAUCAUAAUCAUUCAUCGAAUGCUUUUGUGUAAAUCCAGGUGGCUUCUAUAUUGUCUCUUUAGAUUUAUACACACCGUUUUUAGCUGCGUACUUUCAAGAAUUAUGUUAUACUAGGAUAGAGUGACAGGCUGCUCUUUUUAUUGGAAACUCUGUCUAGUAUUUGCCUCUGUAAUAGUAUUACAUGGAAUGAGAUCAAAGUUGCAUAUA
This is a non-coding RNA of Oryza sativa Japonica Group (Japanese rice), 3999 nucleotides long. Lineage: Eukaryota; Viridiplantae; Streptophyta; Magnoliopsida; Poales; Poaceae. The record is from RefSeq and is a predicted model, not a curated record.